This 433-nucleotide ribosomal RNA is filed under the name uncultured bacterium. RNAcentral's name for it is "partial 16S ribosomal RNA". It matches the Rfam family "Bacterial small subunit ribosomal RNA", at positions 29 to 507 of the family's 1533-position model. The record is from RNAcentral.
AGCGAACGCUGGCGGCAGGCUUAACACAUGCAAGUCGAGCGGGCGCUUCGGGGUCAGCGGCGGACGGGUUAGUAACGCGUGGGGAUGUGCCUUCUGGUCUGGAAUAACCCUUGGAAACUAGGGCUAAUACCGGAUACGCCCUUUUGGGGAAAGGUUUACUGCCGGAAGAUCGGCCCGCGUCUGAUUAGCUAGUUGGUGGGGUAACGGCCUACCAAGGCGACGAUCAGUAGCUGGUCUGAGAGGAUGAUCAGCCACAUUGGGACUGAGGCACGGCCCACACUCCUACGGGAGGCAGCAGUGGGGAAUAUUAGACAAUGGGCGAAAGCCUGAAGAAGCCCUGACGCGUGAGUGAUGAAGGACUUAGGGUUGUAAAGCUCUUUCAUCAGGGACGAUAAUGACGGUACCGGAGGAAUAAGCCCCGGCUAACUUCGUG